UUUCGGGUCCAAACAGGCACACUCAAACUCAGCCUACAGGAGGCCGGCCGGUGUUGAGCAUUUAAAAUGUGCACACCAACAAAAAUGAUACCCUUUCAGUACGAGAGAAGUACUGGCAACAAUAUCUUCUCCCUUGCGCGUCUGUUUGACUCCUUGGUCCGUGUUUCAAGACGGGUGAAGGCACCCCAUUCCGAGUUUGCCAACAUCGAGCAUCACGAAGAAGCCAGGCCUCGCGGUAAAACCGUGCACCUAACUCUAGAAUCGCUCAUUUCGCCAUACCCCUUUUUGGCAGCUGUUGCCGAGGAAAACCAAGGUUAUCCCGGAUAGUGCUUUAGGGCAGGCUUUGGCCAGUGAAAUGGAGGUACUUCCAUUGUCAUUGUCACGACUUCAGGUUCUAUGUCACUCUCUUUCCAAAGUGCUUUUCAAACUUUCGCUCACGCUACUUGUUCGCUAUCGGUCUUCCUA
RNAcentral lists this ribosomal RNA (465 nucleotides) under Kinetoplastida sp. LDR2000. Its description in RNAcentral is "partial 24S ribosomal RNA". The record is from RNAcentral. Lineage: Eukaryota; Euglenozoa; Kinetoplastea.